UAAUACCGGAUGCUUGAUUGAACCGCAUGGUUCAAUUAUAAAAGGUGGCUUUUAGCUACCACUUACUGAUGGACCCGCGGCGCAUUAGCUAGUUGGUGAGGUAACGGGUCACCAAGGCAACGAUGCGUACCCAACCUGAGAGGGUGAUCGGCCACACUGGGACUGAAACACGGCCCAAACUCCUACGGGAGGCAGCAGUAGGGAAUCUUCCGCAAUGGACAAAAGUCUGACGGACCACCGCCGCGGGAGUGAUGAAGGUUUUCGGAUAGUAAAACUCUGUUGUUAGGGAAAAACAAGUACCGUUCGAAUAGGGCGGUACCUUGACGGUACCUAACCAAAAAGCCACGGCUAACUACGUGCCAGCAGCCGCGGUAAUACGUAGGUGGCAAGCGUUGUCCGGAAUUAUUGGGCGUAAAGCGCGCGCAGGCGGUUUCUUAAGUCUGAUGUGAAAGCCCCCGGCUCACCCGGGGAGGGUCAUUGGAAACUGGGGAACUUGAGUGCAAAAAAGGAGAGUGGAAUUCCACGUGUAGCGGUGAAAUGCGUAAAGAUGUGGAGGACCACCAGUGGCGAAGGCGACUCUCUGGUCUGUAACUGACGCUGAGGCGCGAAAGCGUGGGGAGCGAACAGGAUUAGAUAGCCUGGUAGUCCACGCCGUAAACGAUGAGUGCUAAGUGUUAGAGGGUUUCCGCCCUUUUAGUGCUGCAGCAAACGCAUUAAGCACUCCGCCUGGGGAGUACGGUCGCAAGACUGAAACUCAAAGGAAUUGACGGGGGGCCCGCACAAGCGGUGGAGCAUGUGGA
Molecule: ribosomal RNA, 800 nt
Filed under: Bacillus licheniformis
Lineage: Bacteria; Bacillati; Bacillota; Bacilli; Caryophanales; Bacillaceae
Description: bacterial SSU rRNA
Rfam family: Bacterial small subunit ribosomal RNA
Source: RNAcentral